Molecule: unclassified non-coding RNA, 380 nt
Filed under: uncultured Rickettsiales bacterium
Lineage: Bacteria; Pseudomonadati; Pseudomonadota; Alphaproteobacteria; Rickettsiales
Description: contains 16S-23S intergenic spacer region
Source: RNAcentral
UCCGGCUUAUCACCGGCGGUUUCCUCAGAGUACCCAGCUUAACCUGUUGGUAACAGAGGACGAGGGUUGCGCUCGUUGCGGGACUUAACCCAACAUCUCACGACACGAGCUGACGACAGCCAUGCAGCACCUGUGCACCUCCCAGCCGAACUGAAGAAAGCUGUUUCCAGCGAUCAUAGAGGGCAUGUCAAAUCCUGGUAAGGUUCUUCGCGUUGCCUCGAAUUAAACCACAUGUUCCACCGCUUGUGCGGGUCCCCGUCAAUUCCUUUGAGUUUUAAUCUUGCGACCGUACUCCCCAGGCGGGGUGCUUAACGCGUUAGCUGCGCCACUGAGAACUAUGUUCCCAACAGCUAGCACCCAUCGUUUACGGCGUGGACUAC